CGUUCCCGGGCCUUGUACACACCGCCCGUCACACCACGAGAGUUUGUAACACCCGAAGUCGGUGAGGUAACCUUUUGGGGCCAGCCGCCGAAGGUGGGAUAGAUGAUUGGGGUG
RNAcentral lists this ribosomal RNA (114 nucleotides) under uncultured bacterium. RNAcentral describes it as "partial 16S ribosomal RNA". It matches the Rfam family "Bacterial small subunit ribosomal RNA", at positions 1369 to 1482 of the family's 1533-position model. The record is from RNAcentral.